Molecule: ribosomal RNA, 484 nt
Filed under: uncultured bacterium
Lineage: Bacteria
Description: partial 16S ribosomal RNA
Rfam family: Bacterial small subunit ribosomal RNA
Source: RNAcentral
AUUGAACGCUGGCGGCAGGCCUAACACAUGCAAGUCGAGCGGAUGAAGGGAGCUUGCUCCUGGAUUCAGCGGCGGACGGGUGAGUAAUGCCUAGGAAUCUGCCUGGUAGUGGGGGAUAACGUCCGGAAACGGGCGCUAAUACCGCAUACGUCCUGAGGGAGAAAGUGGGGGAUCUUCGGACCUCACGCUAUCAGAUGAGCCUAGGUCGGAUUAGCUAGUUGGUGGGGUAAAGGCCUACCAAGGCGACGAUCCGUAACUGGUCUGAGAGGAUGAUCAGUCACAAUGGAACUGAGACACGGUCCAGACUCCUACGGGAGGCAGCAGUGGGGAAUAUUGGACAAUGGGCGAAAGCCUGAUCCAGCCAUGCCGCGUGUGUGAAGAAGGUCUUCGGAUUGUAAAGCACUUUAAGUUGGGAGGAAGGGCGGUAAGUUAAUACCUUGCUGUUUUGACGUUACCAACAGAAUAAGCACCGGCUAACUUCGUG